UCGCGAGGUUCCUCAUAUUUUCCGAGUCCAUGUGAUGAUCAGUACCUUGGAAUUUUGAAGAUUCUUUUCUCUCUGGAUAUGUCAAUUGCUCUGAAACCUUUGCUGGAGCAACUAUCCUCACUCUAGGUAUACGACAAUUAAAAUAUAUUGAUCAAUACAAAAUGGAAUAUGAAACAAAACAUGUUCUAGUUGAUAUUAAGUUGUAUCAUUGAGGAAAGUUGCGGUAGCGAUUUCAAAUGACACCAUUAAUUGAAUUUCAAAUUUACCCAAAUAUUCUCUUUUGUAGAAUAUUGAACUCAUUCAAAUAAACUCAUGAUUGGCCGGGUUACGCUAAAGUUAAGAAAAAUAUGUAUGUAUUUAGACUAAAUACCCUUCCAUUUUUUUAGUGAAUAAUGAAGUGAUAACCAAGAGAGUUUAUGAACUAAUAUGCAUAAAGUCGAAAAAGAUGUAACUGAUGCAUCAUAAUCGGAAUGCUGAUCUGACAGUAUGGAACAAAAAUAAUUUUUUCUAAAGCAACGGCAUAAAAAAUUGAAAUGGAGGGAGGGAAGAAUUUGAUGGCUAAGUAAUUUAUGGAGUUUUGAAUAAGGAAUCGAGUAAAAACCUGGUCUCAAUCUGGCAAAUGUAUUCAAGAAGAUGAGGAUUAAAUUCUGUGACACCACUGAAAAAAUAGUAGAAGAAACAACUAAUUAAAUUCAUGAUUAUAUAUCCACAUAAGUUAAUUUAAUGAAAAAUUCUUAAAAAAAUUCACCUAAGGUUUACGAGGGACAACUUCAUUUGGGGACUGAUGAUAAACCUACUGAGGUCCCAGUCGGAUGUUGCUUCUCUCAUUUAACAAAAACCAAUAUCAGUAUUAAAAAAAAAAAAAAGGAAUUUGAAAUGAAUAAAUAAAUAAAGCAAGUAGAAUUUUUUGGCCAUACCUGCAGUUUUAAUGCUAAUAUUCCAAGAAUUUGUAGCUCCAUCAUUCUUACUUUCUCUUAUUUGUAUGUCUUUGUAAUAUCUAGGCAAGUUA
This 1009-nucleotide long non-coding RNA is filed under the name Erythranthe guttata (spotted monkey flower). RNAcentral's name for it is "long non-coding RNA (EGUT_LNC002388)". The record is from RNAcentral. Lineage: Eukaryota; Viridiplantae; Streptophyta; Magnoliopsida; Lamiales; Phrymaceae.